RNAcentral lists this ribosomal RNA (253 nucleotides) under uncultured bacterium. RNAcentral describes it as "partial 16S ribosomal RNA". It matches the Rfam family "Bacterial small subunit ribosomal RNA", at positions 524 to 776 of the family's 1533-position model. The record is from RNAcentral.
UACGUAGGGCGCAAGCGUUGUCCGGAAUUAUUGGGCGUAAAGAGCUCGUAGGCGGCCAGUUGCGUCCGCUGUGAAAUCCCGGGGCUUAACCCCGGGCGUGCAGUGGAUACGGGCUGGCUAGAGGCAGGCAGGGGAGAACGGAAUUCCCGGUGUAGCGGUGAAAUGCGCAGAUAUCGGGAGGAACACCGGUGGCGAAGGCGGUUCUCUGGGCCUGUACUGACGCUGAGGAGCGAAAGCUAGGGGAGCAAACGGG